This 100-nucleotide small nuclear RNA is filed under the name Loxodonta africana (African savanna elephant). The record is from RNAcentral. Lineage: Eukaryota; Metazoa; Chordata; Mammalia; Proboscidea; Elephantidae.
UGUACUGCUUCAACAGCAUAUAAUACUAAAACUGGAAUGACAAACAGCGAUUAGCUUGGCCUCUGUGCAAGGAUGGCAUACAAAUUCAUUCCGUACUUUU